AAAUGAAUAGACGGGGGCCCGCACAAGCAGCGGAGCAUGUGGUUUAAUUCGAAGCAACGCGAAGAACCUUACCUGGGCUUGACAUGUGCCUGACCGCCGUGGAAACACGGCUUCCCUUCGGGGCAGGUUCACAGGUGGUGCAUGGCUGUCGUCAGCUCGUGUCGUGAGAUGUUGGGUUAAGUCCCGCAACGAGCGCAACCCUCGUCGUAUGUUGCCAGCAUUUAGUUGGGGACUCAUACGAGACUGCCGGUGACAAACCGGAGGAAGGCGGGGAUGACGUCAAGUCAUCAUGCCCCUUAUGUCCAGGGCUACACACGUGCUACAUUGGCGCGUACAGAGGGCAGCGAUACCGCGAGGUGGAGCGAAUCCCAAAAAGCGCGUCUCGGUUCGGAUUGUAGGCUGAAACCCGCCUACAUGAAGGUGGAGUUGCUAGUAAUCGUGGAUCAGCACGCCACGGUGAAUACGUUCCCGGGCCUUGUACACACCGCCCGU
RNAcentral lists this ribosomal RNA (492 nucleotides) under uncultured bacterium. RNAcentral's name for it is "bacterial SSU rRNA". It matches the Rfam family "Bacterial small subunit ribosomal RNA", at positions 903 to 1397 of the family's 1533-position model. The record is from RNAcentral.